This is a non-coding RNA of Pangasius djambal, 74 nucleotides long. Lineage: Eukaryota; Metazoa; Chordata; Actinopteri; Siluriformes; Pangasiidae. The record is from the annotation of a GenBank genome assembly.
GGCAGUGGGAGCUCAGUGGUUAAGGUUCUGCGCUAGAGACCGGGAGGUUAUGAGUUCAAAUCCCAGAACUGUCA